UACGAAGGGGGCUAGCGUUGCUCGGAAUUACUGGGCGUAAAGGGCGCGUAGGCGGACAGUUUAGUCAGAGGUAAAAGCCCAGGGCUCAACCUUGGAACUGCCUUUGAUACUGGCUGUCUUGAGUACGGGAGAGGUGAGUGGAACUCCGAGUGUAGAGGUGAAAUUCGUAGAUAUUCGGAAGAACACCAGUGGCGAAGGCGACUCACUGGCCCGUUACUGACGCUGAGGCGCGAAAGCGUGGGGAGCAAACAGG
RNAcentral lists this ribosomal RNA (253 nucleotides) under uncultured bacterium. RNAcentral describes it as "partial 16S ribosomal RNA". It matches the Rfam family "Bacterial small subunit ribosomal RNA", at positions 524 to 776 of the family's 1533-position model. The record is from RNAcentral.